AUUGAACGCUGGCGGCAGGCUUAACACAUGCAAGUCGAGCGGUAGCACAGGGGAGCUUGCUCCCUGGGUGACGAGCGGCGGACGGGUGAGUAAUGUCUGGGAAACUGCCUGAUGGAGGGGGAUAACUACUGGAAACGGUAGCUAAUACCGCAUAACGUCGCAAGACCAAAGAGGGGGACCUUCGGGCCUCUUGCCAUCAGAUGUGCCCAGAUGGGAUUAGCUAGUAGGUGGGGUAAUGGCUCACCUAGGCGACGAUCCCUAGCUGGUCUGAGAGGAGAACCAGCCACACUGGAACUGAGACACGGUCCAGACUCCUACGGGAGGCAGCAGUGGGGAAUAUUGCACAAUGGGCGCAAGCCUGAUGCAGCCAUGCCGCGUGUGUGAAGAAGGCCUUCGGGUUGUAAAGCACUUUCAGCGAGGAGGAAGGUGGUGAGCUUAAUACGUUCAUCAAUUGACGUUACUCGCAGAAGAAGCACCGGCUAACUCCGUG
Molecule: ribosomal RNA, 490 nt
Filed under: uncultured bacterium
Lineage: Bacteria
Description: partial 16S ribosomal RNA
Rfam family: Bacterial small subunit ribosomal RNA
Source: RNAcentral